RNAcentral lists this ribosomal RNA (760 nucleotides) under Acinetobacter sp. UAPS0145. Its description in RNAcentral is "bacterial SSU rRNA". It matches the Rfam family "Bacterial small subunit ribosomal RNA", at positions 1 to 759 of the family's 1533-position model. The record is from RNAcentral. Lineage: Bacteria; Pseudomonadati; Pseudomonadota; Gammaproteobacteria; Moraxellales; Moraxellaceae.
UUUWGAGUUUUUKKACCUGGCUCAGAUUGAACGCUGGCGGCAGGCUUAACACAUGCAAGUCGAGCGGAGAGAGGUAGCUUGCUACCGAUCUUAGCGGCGGACGGGUGAGUAAUGCUUAGGAAUCUGCCUAUUAGUGGGGGACAACAUUUCGAAAGGAAUGCUAAUACCGCAUACGUCCUACGGGAGAAAGCAGGGGAUCUUCGGACCUUGCGCUAAUAGAUGAGCCUAAGUCGGAUUAGCUAGUUGGUGGGGUAAAGGCCUACCAAGGCGACGAUCUGUAGCGGGUCUGAGAGGAUGAUCCGCCACACUGGGACUGAGACACGGCCCAGACUCCUACGGGAGGCAGCAGUGGGGAAUAUUGGACAAUGGGCGCAAGCCUGAUCCAGCCAUGCCGCGUGUGUGAAGAAGGCCUUAUGGUUGUAAAGCACUUUAAGCGAGGAGGAGGCUACUUUAGUUAAUACCUAGAGAUAGUGGACGUUACUCGCAGAAUAAGCACCGGCUAACUCUGUGCCAGCAGCCGCGGUAAUACAGAGGGUGCAAGCGUUAAUCGGAUUUACUGGGCGUAAAGCGCGCGUAGGCGGCUAAUUAAGUCAAAUGUGAAAUCCCCGAGCUUAACUUGGGAAUUGCAUUCGAUACUGGUUAGCUAGAGUGUGGGAGAGGAUGGUAGAAUUCCAGGUGUAGCGGUGAAAUGCGUAGAGAUCUGGAGGAAUACCGAUGGCGAAGGCAGCCAUCUGGCCUAACACUGACGCUKAKKCGAARG